This 496-nucleotide ribosomal RNA is filed under the name uncultured bacterium. Its description in RNAcentral is "partial 16S ribosomal RNA". It matches the Rfam family "Bacterial small subunit ribosomal RNA", at positions 29 to 507 of the family's 1533-position model. The record is from RNAcentral.
AUGAACGCUGGCGGCGUGCCUAAUACAUGCAAGUCGCGCGAACAGACGAGGAGCUUGCUCCUCUGACGUUAGCGGCGGACGGGUGAGUAACACGUGGAUAACCUACCUAUAAGACUGGGAUAACUUCGGGAAACCGGAGCUAAUACCGGAUAACAUGUUGAACCGCAUGGUUCAACAGUGAAAGACGGUUUUGCUGUCACUUAUAGAUGGAUCCGCGUCGCAUUAGCUAGUUGGUAAGGUAACGGCUUACCAAGGCAACGAUGCGUAGCCGACCUGAGAGGGUGAUCGGCCACACUGGAACUGAGACACGGUCCAGACUCCUACGGGAGGCAGCAGUAGGGAAUCUUCCGCAAUGGGCGAAAGCCUGACGGAGCAACGCCGCGUGAGUGAAGAAGGUCUUCGGAUCGUAAAACUCUGUUAUUAGGGAAGAACAAAUGUGUAAGUAACUAUGCACGUCUUGACGGUACCUAAUCAGAAAGCCACGGCUAACUACGUG